GGCUCCAGACCUGAGUAACACCCUGGCUUCCUUUUGUCUCCUGCAUUUUCUGGUCCCAAAACCUUUAGGCUAUGAAAUGGCCCCUCUCUACACCCUGAGGAUGAGGUCACCUCUCCUGCAAGCAGGUGGGAGGUCAAUGUCCCUGUGGCUCAGGAGGCACCAGCUGCUGUGCUGAAUCUGCUGCACAAGGGAGUGAGGGCAUGCUCCCAGGGAAGGCAGGCUCUGCAGGAACUGCUGCAGGGGGGGCUCCAAACUCCAAUGAACUUACAGCAAGUUCAGCAUGUUGUUCCCCCAGGGGCCCCAGGAGCACAGGUGGGAGCCAAGAGGCUGGUGUGCCACACAGAAUCAGGAGCAAGCAGCCAAAACAAGGAGCUAACCAAGGAUGCUGUGCUGCAUCGUGAUACAAGAACCCUACAGAUCCUGAAAAACAAACGGGAGCAAGAGUCUGAUUUCUCCAGAGCUUCAUUUCAGGCAUCAGUAUUGGCUGGGGGUGGCUGGAAGCAACUGAUAUCCUGCAGGAACUGGUGUCCCAGCUCUGGUGGGAACUGUGGGCUUGUAGCUGUGAGGGACCAGGGAGAAGCUAAUUCCUUUAGGCUCCUUAGAGAGUUUGAUAACAGGCAACAAACUGCCAGCCUGACUUGCAGAAACAGAGAUGCGUAGAUCAAACGGUGUUUAUCUCAUCUCAGUGACACAGUGGGAUGCUAUGGCAUCUUUCUGCUGUCACAUCACUUCUGAGGCCACUGAGAGGGGUUUAAUGUCUCUGCUGAGCAUUGUGCCAGCCCAGGAGCAAGUGCUGGGGAGGAACCAUUGGGCUGGAACAGCUGCUGUUUUCAAGGUGCUGGAACUGGGCAGAGUUGAGCGUGCAUCACUUCUGCUUUGUUACCUGUCAUCACCUGAAACAGCAUCAACUGUUGAUUCACACAGCCAGUUCUACUCCACAGCCUCUGCUGUGAUACACAGCUAGAGUUUCAGAGCCUGUCAGUGAGCUCUCACAUCAGGGGAUGCUUUUGGCUGUUGGCAGCUAGUAUUUGUAUUAUGUGUGCAAGGCCUUUCACUCAGCCAUGUCCUGUGGACUUUACAUAUAAAAGGCACUUCCACCAGGUUAUAGGAAGGCCUGAACUACAAGCCACAAUCCCAAAGUGUGCCUAAGUGCUGUAACAACUCUGAACACCAAGCAAAUUAAAAGGUCCUGUGGAGAAGAACUUGCACUCCCCAGAAACAGAAGUGUUGAAAACCAUCAGGGCUUGCUGGCUUUCUUGCCUCCAGGAGAACAUUUAUUUUUCAGUCUGACAAGUACUGAAUUAAAAAGUGAAAUUUGCUAUUAAAUAUGUGAAUACUGAAUUAUGGGCACCUUGAAAACACAAAACCAAAUAAAACAAGCUGAUUUGGGUAUGUACAGGAGUGAGCUGAAAAGUAAUCUUGUGCAAUUGCUUGCAUAAAAACUGAGAGCAUGAAAAGAGCUGAACUCAGCCUGGAAAUGUUUC
Molecule: long non-coding RNA, 1484 nt
Organism: Passer montanus (Eurasian tree sparrow)
Lineage: Eukaryota; Metazoa; Chordata; Aves; Passeriformes; Passeridae
Exons: 3
Source: RefSeq, a predicted model, not a curated record